Molecule: ribosomal RNA, 188 nt
Filed under: uncultured Thermus sp.
Lineage: Bacteria; Thermotogati; Deinococcota; Deinococci; Thermales; Thermaceae
Description: partial 16S ribosomal RNA
Rfam family: Bacterial small subunit ribosomal RNA
Source: RNAcentral
ACUCCUACGGGAGGCAGCAGUUAGGGAUCUUCCGCAAUGGACGGAAGUCUGACGGAGCGACGCCGCUUGGAGGAGGAAGCCCUUCGGGGUGUAAACUCCUGAACUGGGGACGAAAGCCCUGUGUAGGGGGAUGACGGUACCCAGGUAAUGGCGCCGGCCAACUCCGUGCCAGCAGCCGCGGUAAUACA